UUGGACAGACUGUCCUGAUGGUGUUGCCAGAGGUGAGGAUGCGCUUUCUCUUCUUGAAAACUCACAGACACGUGGCCAUUUCAUCAAUGAGCUGAAGGAGUUGGAAAUGUUCCUGUGCCAGCGGCUCAGUGAGAUGCGUGAAGAAGGUGACUUGGUGACCAUGAGUCAGUUCCAGCUUGCUCCCUCAAAGAUUCAGGCCCAGACUCCCGAGCGUGUGCAGGCCAUGCUGGCAGACGUGCGUGACCUGCUAAACGGGCUCACUUCAGUACGAAUGCAGCACCUCUUCAUGAUCCAGGCGUCACC
Molecule: long non-coding RNA, 303 nt
Organism: Sinocyclocheilus grahami
Lineage: Eukaryota; Metazoa; Chordata; Actinopteri; Cypriniformes; Cyprinidae
Exons: 3
Source: RefSeq, a predicted model, not a curated record